AUAUAUAUGCAUCAAUUACUAAUUCAUAUAAUUCACAAUAUGCAUGCAUGGCAUUUUAAAAACAUACUUUCAUUUAAAUUCAAUUUAUGGGAAAAAUCAAUAGUAUAUAGGUAAAUACAGAAAAUACUGCCCACUCACCUGGAGUUUGUCCUACAACUCCCUAGCACAACACAUCAAGGCGACAUGACGAUCGAUGCAUAGAACAAUCAUCAAAUCAACCUCAGAAAUCAUAUCGAUAGAAUAUAUAACUUAUAUAAAACACGUCACUACGUAGUUCGAUCCGGAAGAUCUGCAACUCAGAUUUCCAAUCCAUAACUUCCAGAGGUCCACAAUGUUGGAAAUGUUCCCUAAAACCAAUCAUAUGAUGAUACUUUACGAACAUUUCACAUGUUAAACUAAUCUAGUUUAAUAUCAAGGGCAAAGAUUAUUGUUUGAGCUGUCUCAUAUAAAUGUUAUACGCUUAAACGAUAAGUCCAAGGAAUAUGUGAUUGGGAGAAUGCGAUCUAAAAAAGUUAGAUUCAUGAGACCAUUCUUUCGUAGACACAUCCUAAACGUUCCUGAUCAUAGGAUUGCCAAUUGGGCAUUGACAGUCCGUUAAGAUCAGUACGUGCUGUGUCUUCUCAGGGAGAGUGACUAGCCUCGAGUCAUUGGUGUGUGUGACAUCAAGACAAGCAUGUAGGUGCUCAAUAAUGAAUGAGUCCACUGAACACGAUCAACGAGAAGUUCUCAUACUCAUGUCACAUGAGAACUCAUGGUUGGGAUAAUGCAAAGUAGUCAUUUGACCUGAGGCAUCAUAGUUAUCUUAUGGUUAAGUCAUUGAUCUUUGAUUAUGUCAAAGUCACUCCAUCAGGAGGGUGUCCACGGCAUCGUCGGGGUUAAGCCACUUAGCCAUGGAGGCAAGUGAAUGCGCAACAAGGGAUCUCUAACCUUCAAACCGUUUGGGGGAGAAUACUCUAUGAUAUGAUUAAGAAUCUCUGGCCAAAGUAUGAAUGAGAUUUAGGAAGUCGUUCCAAAUCACAUUCAAGGUAAUCAUAUAAGCACACGAAUCACAUUGGAUAGUAGACACGAAUAAACUAUCAAACCAAACAAUGUGGUCAAGAGUAUUGUAUUAGAGAAAGACCGUAUUGCAUUUGUAAUCCUAAACUGAAUAGGUUCUCCACCUCUUCUGAUUAGCUUGGGUAACCAUGAUAUGCUGCUAGGUGUCACUCAUGGUUUGUGGAAGCCCUAAACGUGUAUAAUCACUAAAGGGAGAAUUGAAAGUAAGUUUCAAUUCACAAUCAAUUUGAAAUGGUUUUAAUCGCCCACUGCCUCGCUAAAAGGAACCUAAUGGAUUGUACAUCGAGUAAGGUAGAGAUUGAAGAAAAAUUGGAGAUGAGUAAGAAUAAUUAAAUGGUUUAAUUAUUUAUGGCAAGGAUUAAUUAAUAUGUUAAUUAAUCAAAGGAAUAAGUUCGUUAAAGACCUCGGGAUAGUUUUGGACCUUAAGGCCCAAUGGGCUUCGAACGUCAAGUCCAUUGACUUAAGUUGUAUGACAACUUAAUGAAUAAUGAUUCACAAAGGCCCAAAUAGCCCAAUGAAUCCCUAUGCCCCGCCAUUUAGAGAUGGAGUGGGUUUUGGACUUAUCUACAAGUUUGCCACUCCAAUGAAUUAAGGUAUAAAUAUGACUUUAUAGCCAAAAUUCAUUUAGGGUUUCUUUUUGGGAAAGGAUGAGAAAACAAAGCUCUCCUUUCUCUCUAAAGAAGCCGGCCACCCUAGAGGAAUUUAGCUAGCAAUCUUGCUUCCUCUAGGUCACUCAUUUCUACUUAAAUCUAACCUUGGUGUGGAGACUUAGAGGUUCUCUACUUUGGGAACUUGGAGAAACCUAUUCUUCCAUCUAAAUCCAUAGAUCUAAGAUGCAAGGAAUGAAGGCCUUCUCUUUGGGUGAUUAGCCUUUGCUUAUGCAAAGAGGAAUCUACAAAGGUAUAAUUUCUCAACUAACAAAUGUUGUUUUAAGUUGAGUCUUGGUUCACCAAUCUACUAGGCUUUGAAUUUCAUGGGUAAUGUUUUGUUUUUAAGUGCAUACAAGCAUGAUUUCGCUUUUUUAUUGUUAAUUGCAUGCUAUAGAUGUUGCUUAAAUGAACAUAUUUUUCACAAAAUUUCCUUCACACAAUAUAUCUCUAGAACAACAUCCUAAAAUUUCCUUACCAUCCAACGGUCGGAUCUCCGUCAAUUGUCAAAACCAAGUGACGGUUAACAUUCUAUUUUAUGAUCUUACAACUCCAAUUCCGGAAGAUCCGUGAAUCGGAUUCCCAAUCUGUAAGUUCCUAUCAUCCUCAAAUAUUACGUAUUACAAUGUAUCAAAGUUUGGUGACGAUCCAACGGUCGGAUCGUCAAUUCACAUUUUCACCUAACCACGAAUCGUAACGAACUUAGGUUCAAUUACUCAACUUAUGUCAAUCAAUUAUCAAAACUGAAUCUAGAACAUAAACACAUGCUAAGAAUGAUAUU
Molecule: long non-coding RNA, 2484 nt
Filed under: Malus domestica (apple)
Lineage: Eukaryota; Viridiplantae; Streptophyta; Magnoliopsida; Rosales; Rosaceae
Description: long non-coding RNA (MDOM_LNC021204)
Source: RNAcentral